AAGUCGGUGGAGCAUGUGGUUUAAUUCGAAGCAACGCGAAGAACCUUACCAGGUCUUGACAUCCCGAUGCUAUUUCUAGAGAUAGAAAGUUACUUCGGUACAUCGGUGACAGGUGGUGCAUGGUUGUCGUCAGCUCGUGUCGUGAGAUGUUGGGUUAAGUCCCGCAACGAGCGCAACCCCUAUUGUUAGUUGCCAUCAUUCAGUUGGGCACUCUAGCGAGACUGCCGGUAAUAAACCGGAGGAAGGUGGGGAUGACGUCAAAUCAUCAUGCCCCUUAUGACCUGGGCUACACACGUGCUACAAUGGUUGGUACAACGAGUUGCGAGUCGGUGACGGCGAGCUAAUCUCUUAAAGCCAAUCUCAGUUCGGAUUGUAGGCUGCAACUCGCCUACAUGAAGUCGGAAUCGCUAGUAAUCGCGGAUCAGCACGCCGCGGUGAAUACGUUCCCGGGCCUU
This 455-nucleotide ribosomal RNA is filed under the name uncultured Streptococcus sp. RNAcentral describes it as "bacterial SSU rRNA". It matches the Rfam family "Bacterial small subunit ribosomal RNA", at positions 927 to 1382 of the family's 1533-position model. The record is from RNAcentral. Lineage: Bacteria; Bacillati; Bacillota; Bacilli; Lactobacillales; Streptococcaceae.